Non-coding RNA from Pelobates cultripes (western spadefoot toad), 512 nucleotides. Lineage: Eukaryota; Metazoa; Chordata; Amphibia; Anura; Pelobatidae. The record is from the annotation of a GenBank genome assembly.
GAAAGAACUUUUCCCAUAGUAAAAGAUUUUAUUCUUAAAUAGUUAAAUAUUUCCUUCGAAGGAAGGUUAUAUUUAGACUGAAAUAUGGGGAAUGGCAAUAUUUUAUUAUUAUUUAAAAGAUCCGCUAUUCUUACUAUUCCACAGUGUACCCAUUCUUGGAUAUUUAUAUCCUUUAUGUAAUAUUUUAAGCUUAUUAAUGGGGCAUUUGAUGAAAUAUAUUUUGUACCAUAUUUUUUUUUCAAGUACUUAACAAUGUAAAUCAUUGUAUUAUUCAUCGGAUUACUAGAUCUUAUGUUUUUUAGAGAUUCACUGUCGCACCACCAGAGAAAUAAAGGUUCUAUAUCGCAGAGAUCUGCUUUUUCAAUGUCCAACCAAUUUGGUCUAGACUUUGUAAAGUUAUCACACUUAAUUAAAUGUGCAACCAUAUUAUUCAUAUAUAAUUUCUGUAUGUCUGGGAAACAAAUCCCCCCUUCUUUCCAGUCUCUCUGUAAAAUUUCCAAAGACACUCUAGG